AGUCAGAAACUAAUGCAGUAUAAUUUUAAGUCAUAACCAAAAGUCAAAAUGGAUUUUUUUCGGUAUUUGGAAACGAAUUGAUGGUGCGUGUUAAGUUGGUUUGAAGACUUUUAGAAAAAUGGCAGUUCAAAUCAAAAUUCACCCUGUAACUUCGUGAAUUUUGACCAUAAAAGGGAGAUUUAUUUCAAAAAUCAGCAAAUAUAGGACCUUCUAUUCAUCUUCGUCUAGUUCAUAUUGCUGAAAACAUUGCUGCUGUGUGUCAAAAAAGCCAUCAAGAAGUCACCGUGAAACGUGUUGGUGAAUAUGACUGGAUUUGUAGUAGCCCAAAAUUGGGGAUAUGGACCUGGACAAGAAAGCCUAAGGUUGAAUACAAUGAGUCCACCAACACUCCCAUGUGCAGCAUGCUGCACGUGAGUCGCGAUAAUAUCCCACGCAUUUGAAAAUGUUCACCACCUCGGUGGGGAGCGUAGUACAAUCUUAAACUCCUUCCAAAACAAGAGUUACGGCACUUGGCUGAAAACGCAACUGCACGACGAGCUCUGUUUUAACCACAAUUUGAAUCGUAACCACAGCCCGCAUGUUGCCCCAAAAAAGGCCUCACCAUUGUCAGGCUAGUAUCAGAUUAAAGUCUCCGUUCAAACAUCAUAGCCAUAAGACUACAACCAGUUGAACCCUUAAGUCACGGACUGGCCAACUAUGAAACAGUUGAAAUCGCCUAAGCCGACCUAUAUAUAGCCGACGGCCAUCAUAUAGAGUAUGCCCAAAACAACGUACACAAGGACAACAUACAAAACAAGAAUAGAAGGCGCCAGACCUCACAGGCUACCCAACACAAAUCACCUCCAACAUCCUUGACCAAACACAAUCACAAGCGAACGGAAAACAACAAAGGGAACAAGUAAAAGAUCAUUAAGUUCGGCCGGGGCGAACUUUUAACACCCAUCACCUUGGGUAUAUAUGUUAACCACCUUUCGUUAUAAUCCAGAAAAGAAUUCAUCACUUACGAACCCAUGGCAGCUAUUUUUAAAUAUGGUACGACAUGGAACAAACUCGGAACGGACGUUACUAUGGAAAACAGGAGAUCGCUCUGUAUGGCAACUAUAUCCAAAUAUAAACCGAUAAGCGUCAUAUUAACCAAUAAGCGCGUAUUGCCUAACAUAGCUCUCUGUGUCACAUUUCAACGAAAUCGGGUAAUAAACGCUGCUUUUAUGGGCCUAAGGAUUUAAGUCGGGAGAUCGGAAUCAUAUAGCGAACGGAUGUCAAAUUUUAGCGAAAUCGGACAAAUAUGCUCAAUAGGCUCAAGACCUUCAAUCGUGAGAUCGGUCAAUACGGCAGGUAUAUCGGAUAAAAAAUGUGGUUUGCAUGGGACAAAACCUUAAAUCGGAUCGGUGUAUAUAGAUCGGACCCGCAGUAUCAACAUGGACAUACCAGGUGUCCUGCCAUAACAUGUGCAGCUCAAUAUCACUCGGUCAAAUCUCUAAUGUCUGCAUAGUACAGGCAUUUUGGUAGUAGGACAGAAGGCAUGCUGUCCUCAGAUCUUUUACAGUCGCACAAAUCAGUUGCGAACAAGUUCCUCUGAUGAAGAAAAACAUUUCAGGAGGCAUCAGUUCAAUCCGAAUACCGAAGCCAAAAUCUGGGAUGUUCUGAACUAAAGUCGGGUAUCGAACAAAUUCGAAAACUAGAUCACUCUUCGUCCAUCUGGUUUUCCACCAGUCAUCAAAAGGAUGGACAGUAGGAGAUUCCAACAGCAUGGAAACAGAGAACCAACAAACAAGUAAAAGCGAGAUAAGUUCGUCUGGGCCGAAUUUUGGGAACCCACCACCAUGGAUUUGGAUCCUAUUUGGCCUGGUUGUUGGAAGUCGUAACAGAAUAUCGCAUACGAAAUUUCAGCCAAAUCGAACAAAAAUUGCGGCAUGUAAGGACUAAAGAAGUAAAAUCGGGAGAUCGGUUUAUAUGGAAGCUAUAUCAGGUUAUAGACCGAUUAGUACCGUACUUUGCACAGUUAUUGGAAGUCACAAUGGAUCAGCACAUACAAAAUUUCAGCCAAAUCGGACAAAAAUUGCGGCUUGUAUAGGUUCAAGAAGUCAAAUAGCGAGAUCGGUUUAUAUGGGAGCUAUAUCAGGUUAUAGACCGAUUAGGACCGUACUUUGCACAGUUGUUGGAAGUCACAAUGGAACAUCACAUACAAAAUUUCAGCCAAAUUGGACAAAAAUUGCGGCAUGUAUGGGCUCAAGAAGUCAAAUCGGGGAUCGGUUUAUAUGGGAGCUAUGUGAGGUUAUUGACCGAACUCAACCGUACUUGACACAAUUGCUGGAAUACAGCUAACAGAACACUGCAUGAAAAUUUUCAGCCAAAUCGGAUGAAAAUUUAGGUUUCCAGAGGCUCAAGAAGUCAAAUCGGGAGAUCGGUUUAUAUGGGAGCUAUAUCAAGUUAUAGACGGAUUCAAACCGUACUUAGCGCAGUUAUUGGAAGUCAAAAAUUGCGGUUUCCAGGGGCUUAAGAAAUCGAAUAGCGAAAUCGGUUUACAUGGGAGAUAUAUAUAAAUCUGAACCGAUAUGGCCCAUUUGCAAUACCCAAUGAUCUACAUCAAUAUAAAGUUACGCGUUCGACCGCUAUCGUGAUUUCGACAGACGGACGGGCGGACAUGGCUAGAUCGACGCAGUACGUCGAGACGAUCAAGAAUAUAUAUACUCUAUGGAGUCUUAGACGAAUAUUUCGAGGUGUUACAAACGGAAUGACUAGAUUAGUAUAGCCCUAUCUUAUGGUGGUGGAUAUAAAAAAUCUUUUUUUCCCAUGGCGUGAGAUAUAAAUUGGUCAUUACUAUCACGCGACGUUUGACUUCUCAGCUUAAGGUAAAGACGUGUUUAAUUCAGCCGGGAGUAAUCUUGGGAAACCACUGCCACCACCAUUCUGCUCAAAAUUAACACUAAAGGAAUUUAAUUCAAGUGCAUAAUUUUACUCAAUAGGCCAUAGGUACUAUGCCAUCCAUGUUAAAACUUUUCCCCAAAGAGGUGUCGCACUGCGACCCCAUAAAGUGUAUAUAUUCUUGAUCGUCAUGUCAUUUUAAGUCAAUAUUGCCAUGUCCGUCCGUCUGUCUGUCGAAAGCACGCUAACUUUCGAAGGAGUAAAGCUAGCCGCUUGAAAUUUCGCACAAAUACUUAUUAUUAGUGUAGGUCGGUUGGGAUUGUAAAUGGACCAAAUCGGUGGAUGUUUUGAUAUAGCUGCCAUAUAAACCGAUCAUUGGUCUUGACUUCUUGAGCCUCUAGAGGGCGCAAUUCCCAUCCGAUUUGGCUGAAAUUUUGCACGUGGUGGUUUGGUAUCACUUCCAACAACUGCGCUAAGUAUGGUUCAAAUCAGUUUAUGUUUUGGUUCAGCUGCCAUAUAAACCGAUCUAGGAUGUUGAAUUCUUGAGCCUCUAGAGGACGCAAUUCUCAUCCGAUUUGGCUGAAAUUUAGCAUAAAGUGUUUUGUGUUAUGACUUCAAAAAACUGUGCUAAGUAUGGCGCAAAUCGUUACAUAAUAUAAACCGAUCAUGGGUCUUGACUUCUUGAGCCUCUAGAGGGCGCAAUUCUCAUCCGAUUUGACAUUUUGUACAACGGCUUUUCUCAUGAUCUUCAAGAUACGUGUCUAAUGUGAUCUGAAUCGAUCAAGAGCUUGAUACAGCUCUCAUAUAAACCGAUCUCCCGAUUUUGCUUCUUGAGCCGCUACAAGGCGCAAUUCUUAUCCGAAUGAACUGAAAUGACUUCUGCAAUGUUCAGCAUUCAUUUAUGGACCGAAACUUGUUAGUAUUUAGAGCGCACACCAAUCCGAUUACAAGUGUUGAUGCACUCACCAACCCAAUGGAACCAAAUAUUCCCUGGCACCCUGAUGAUGUGAUAUUCCAAACUCCCGUCUCUGGCCACACGUAAGAAACUACCACCAAAGCUCCUGCUGUUGCUGCUAGAGUCAAAGGCACACCAAUUGCCCACACAAGAAACAAAUCUGCAAUUCUUGUUGUUGUUGUCGUUUGCGCCACGGCCACCUGCAGCCAGACGACAAGCAAAUGGUUGUUGUGACGAACCAAACGAUCACAGCCCGUAGAGGUAAAGAAAUGGGGAUGAUUUUAAAUCGAAAAAAACAUUUCACUUUGUCUCUUUCCCCGAGAAAUAAUAACAACACUGACUUUGACUUAUAUUCAAAAAAUAUUUUAUUUGGCUCUUUAAUGUACGUGCGCACUCGUUGACAUGCAAAAACUUCUAACUUUAUUUGUCUCUGCCACUGAACCACUAGAUUACAAGAAAUGUAACAAGUGGAGAGACAAUAACAAAAGAAACGUUCAACCAGUACAAGGAUGAGUUGAUUAUCCUUUAGUACUAUUUGCGUGCCAAUAGUGAUGAGAAUCUAUGCAAAUUAAUAAUAGGUCGAUUCCUGCUUGAAGAACAAGCUUAGGUGUAUGCCCCUAGUAACUUGGGGUGUAGUAAUAUCCGCACCCUCACUCCUGCACGCUCCCCAUUCAAGUUGCAGAACUCCUAGAUUAAGUUAUUUAGCGAAAUCCAACAAGGCAACCAAGGACACGACAAACAAUACUGGCAUCAAAGCUUUUCAAAUGCCACUAGUCUGAGCAAUUUCAAUUAUUACCCCUAAAAUGGACUCGAUUGUUAAUGACCACAGGAAUGUUACAUAGAAGGGAAAGAUUGAGUUCGAAAAAAGGAAAUUGCCUUGAGUUCCAAAGAAAAGAAAUUGUCAAUUCUUCGGAAAAAUUCAGACAAUUUCACAGCUCUGCAAAUGUUAAUUUGCCCAUGAACAUUCCAUAAAGGAACAAGGUGGCCUCACACAGCUCUUCUUAUAAAUAAACUCAUUAGCACAAAGGCUAUGUGAAAUCUCAAAUACUAACCACUACGAGAUAUCUACUCAACACACAUCAUAUAAACAAAGUGACUGUUUGAUAUUUCGAGAUGUCUUAUAUUGAAUAACUAGAUUUGAAAACUAUCCAUUUUAUUGCAGUGAAUAUCAUAACGAGUUAUGCAUUUCAAAAAUAACACAAUUUUCUCCGUUUUCGUUGCACACAAGUUUUCAUCUUAUUUUAAUUUAUUUAUUUUGGUUCUAUUAGCUUAAAUUUAAAAUUCUUCUUAAUUCCAAUAUCACACAGCACAUAUCCAAGAACUGAGCAAAAUUAAGGUUCUCUCAGGUAGUUGAAUGCCACGACCCAUUUCGACUUCCCAUUGCAAGAAAUGUGGUAGGAUGUUUUGUUGUUCGGGAAGCCUCAGCAAGGCCUUUAAUGCAUAAAAGAUUGUCAUAUCGAGUAUCAAACAUAAAACCAAUAGAGAUCUUAUAAUAUAUUCAUAGGAUUUUGUCCUUAGUGAUGAGAUACUAAUUAUGGCAUUGUCUGUAGAAUUCAUAGUCCUUUUUGAGAGCAAAGGAACAAAAAGUUGACAACAAAAUGCAGACAACAGUUGUUUAGUUCGGGAUAUGACUUUAUAAAUUAAAAUUGAGUUUUUUUUUUAUAAUUUGAAUUUGUUAAAACUAUCUAUUGUGACCAGAGCUGAAGCAACUACAAUCGUUUGAGAACCAGAAUGAAACUGACUCUAAACCAACCCCCAACACCCACUGUUGAAAACUGUAUGCUUUUGUUGUGGUACUUAGAAUCUAACAUGUUUUUGUUCUUUAAUAAAAAAAAAGUUGUAUUGUGA
Long non-coding RNA from Stomoxys calcitrans (stable fly), 5668 nucleotides. RefSeq lists it as uncharacterized. The record is from RefSeq and is a predicted model, not a curated record. Lineage: Eukaryota; Metazoa; Arthropoda; Insecta; Diptera; Muscidae. The transcript is spliced from 2 exons.